GGGGCUGAUUCUGGACUCGACGGGAUUUGCAAAGCUUAAGGUGCAUGCCGAGGUGAAGUUGGCCUCGUAAAAAACUCAAAAAAUAAUUGCAAACGACUCGCAAUUUGAAUCUAACGCUGCUUUAGCAGCUUAAUCAGCUUAACAAACUGAAGAUUCCCUCUCUCCCUAGCCUCCACUCUUAGGACGGGGAUUAAGAGAGGUCAAAUCUAAAAGAGAUCGCGCGAAGGUCCUGCCUGGGAUUGAAGCGUUAAAAUCAAUCAGGCUAGUCUGUUAGUAGCGUGUCUGUUCGCAACUGAUAGAUGAACGUAAAAACUGGACUAAGCAUGUAGUACCGAAAGAAUAGGAAUUCCGGACGCGGGUUCAAAUCCCGCCAGCUCCACUA
The sequence is a non-coding RNA, 382 nucleotides long. It matches the Rfam family "transfer-messenger RNA". From Rfam's summary of the family: Bacterial tmRNA, also known as 10Sa RNA or SsrA, is named for its dual tRNA and mRNA-like properties. Its role is to liberate the mRNA from a stalled ribosome. The record is from Rfam.